This 346-nucleotide ribosomal RNA is filed under the name uncultured bacterium. RNAcentral describes it as "partial 16S ribosomal RNA". It matches the Rfam family "Bacterial small subunit ribosomal RNA", at positions 338 to 701 of the family's 1533-position model. The record is from RNAcentral.
CCUACGGGUGGCAGCAGUAGGGAAUAUUGCUCAAUGGGGGAAACCCUGAAGCAGCAACGCCGCGUGGAGGAUGAAGGUGUUCGGAGGGUAAACUCCUGUUGUUAGAGAAGAGAAUGACGGUAUCUAACGAAUAAGCACCGGCUAACUCCGGGCCAGCAGCCGCGGUAAUACGGAGGGUGCAAGCGUUCCUCGGAAUCACUGGGCGUAAAGAGCGCGUAGGCGGGAUAGCAAGUCAGAUGUGAAAUCCUAUGGCUUAACCAUAGAACUGCAUUUGAAACUGUUAUUCUAGAGUAUGGGAGAGGUAGGUGUAAUUCUUGGUGUAGUGGUCCAAUCCGUCGAGAUCACG